CUAUAGAGAGACAAGACUAAUAGGCUUCCUUAAUCGCUUUUAUUGGCUAAAUCACAGAGAUUGGAGACCGACCCAUUUAGGAGAGUCGAAGCGAGGUGAGUGGUCUAGACUUUAUUGUUGUUGAAGGAUGCAAAGAGGCCCACCAGCUUUCAGAGGUGUGGAGAAAUCUGCUGUUGAGCAGCCUUAUAUUAGGUUAUAGAUGAAUAUUUCAGAUUCUUGACUACAUAUAUUUUAGUCUGCUUGCUCCUACAUUUUUGAUAGUAAUUAUAUAGAAAUCGAGUUCUUUGUUGCUUGACAUGUUUGUGAGUAGGAAUGCAAGAUUAGUGUGAGCUUUGCUGAUGAUACGGUCUAGUGAUCUUUCCAUGUAAUCUUAGCUUCAGUGUUUACUUUUGCUGCUUUCACUUGUCUUGUCUUGUAUUCUGUGGAGUGAGUUUUGAUUUAUUUUUGUUGAUAGGAUGGUGGAUCUCAGGCCAUGGUUCUCCAGUUUUAUAUUUCCUCUAUCACCUCAAUUACGAGGCAAUACUAUCAUCGUUUAGGUUGUGCUUUUGAUGGCACUUGUUGCUUUCUGGUGCUGCUUUGUACUCAGAAUUUUUGUAGCUUAUCCUUGUAUGAGUGCUAGUGGUAUAAAGUUGUAUUUCUUUCAUUUGAUGUUAAGAUCACCUCUAUUGUCUUGCAAAUUUCUGACUUGAUUAGAACUACAGUUUAUUAAUCCAAUCCUAUCAACUUUUGCAAAGAAGUUUAUUCCUGAUACACUCAAGUUUUUUCUCAUUACGUAGAUGAUUAGAUAGUUGUUUCCAUUUUGUUUAUGUGAAUUCAAGUCUACCAACUGACAUAUAAACUAUGGGCUACAGAUUGCUUGUAACCCAUGCUUUGGAUAACUGUUUGAAGUUUGUCUAUGAUCUCUUUACUUUUGCAGUAAAUGGGCAAGACAAGCAUUAUAUUCAUAGGUUAAAUUCAAUUCUCUUCAGUUAAAGUUAGCAGAGGAGCAGCGGUCUUCAAAUUAUGUUUUUUUAAGCAGGUGUUUAGAAUUCUUUUUUAAUGGCACAUGAAGCAUUAUUUGAACAGUUGUCUGCGCCAUCUUAUGUGGCAUGUACUGAUGAUGGGAAGAGAAACACAAAUGCAUAUUGGAUGAUCUAUGCCAUGGAUCUUGGAAACUCUUCACUUUUAUCUAUAUUUUGUUUUGUAAAUCCCGUAACUUAUAUGGAUUAUUGUUUCAGCCAGGACUGGAGCUAGUAUGUAGUUAAAUUACUGAUGUUCUGUCUGUGCU
This 1267-nucleotide long non-coding RNA is filed under the name Phoenix dactylifera (date palm). RNAcentral's name for it is "long non-coding RNA (PDAC_LNC013533)". Lineage: Eukaryota; Viridiplantae; Streptophyta; Magnoliopsida; Arecales; Arecaceae. The record is from RNAcentral.